RNAcentral lists this long non-coding RNA (238 nucleotides) under Setaria italica (foxtail millet). Its description in RNAcentral is "long non-coding RNA (SITA_LNC000489)". Lineage: Eukaryota; Viridiplantae; Streptophyta; Magnoliopsida; Poales; Poaceae. The record is from RNAcentral.
GGGAGGGCUGCUGCCGGUGGAGAUAGAGAUGGAGAUGGAUACCGACGCGUCGUCGUAUCCGCGGGAAAGCAGCGGAAGCUGGUGUUGGUGAAGGCAGCCGUGACGAAGGCGACGGUGGACGUCGUGUAAAGCGGGCUGGCCACGGCGCCAUCGACGAGCCCGGCGUGGAAGGCGGUGGACGUGGUUGUCCAGUACGUCGUGCUGCAGCAUAACCUCACAGACAUGUGGUCGUUGGUCA